AUGUCAAACUGAUGAGCAUCCAUCGUAUUUGUAGACACCCCUCAAAGGAGAGUUGUACAGCCUAUUCCACUGACAUCCUGACCAAGGCAUCUCCAUCAUGCCUAGGUGGAGUUGGCCUUUUUCCUUACAUUCUGUCUUCACUGGAGACCAGGCAGGUGAAAUCAGCUGGGUGUGAAGUGGCCUUCAGCCAUGUCCUCUCCUGGGGAAUCCAUCCCCCUCCUUCCACUCUUUCCUUGUAAUUGGAAUUGGACCACCUGGUGCCCACGGCUCUCUGGGGUGAAGCUCCCUCUUGGUGUGUCCUGUUCUUCAGUGACAUUUAUUUUUGCUUUCCUCAUGUCCCCUCUUGCAGUGCUCAUCCUGUUGUUACAGUAGCUAUUUGUAGCCUAUGCACCAGCCUGUGUGUUCUUGGGGCCAAGGACUGUGUCCUAUGCUCCUUCCUGUCCCCUGUAUUGCAUAUUGUACCAUGAACCUAGUAGUGAGUGUCCCAUGCAUGUUUGCUGAAUGAGGGAGUGAAUGUCUGACAGACGUUUCAUGGCUUGCAUCCAGCCUGCCCCUAAAUGUUUCCCUAAUUUCUAAUGCUGACACUAGACACCCCACUGAAGGACUAGGGUGUCUAACUAUUCCAUGCUAAGUAUGGGCAAAAGAGGACAGUUUGACCAAGAUGCUCUUUUACCCUUGUGUAUCCAAGUUCCCUCUGAUCAUUAAAUGAGCAGAGACUUCACACAGAAGGUGUUGCUACUGCUGCAGAUGGAGGUCAGAAUUAAGGUACUGCUACUGUUGAUCUCAGACCUUUGAAAGCCAGACCCAAGCUUGGGGUCUUGGGGAUGGGGAUGCUAGGGGAUGGGAUGGCCAGAUACACCAGAGUGGCUGGGAAUGAAAGAGUGUCCCGGAAAACCUGCUUCCUCGGAGCCGAUCCUGUGUGAGCAGAAGAAAUCUAUCCACAGAGGGGUGAGAUCGCAGAGCAAGUGGGUUACCUAAAAAUAGCAGUGCUGGUUUCCCACAGUUAGAGAUGGGUCCUCUGCCAUUCAUCUCAAUUGCUUUGUGCAAGUUUGCUUAUUUAUUGAGAGCGAGAGAAAAGGAUCAAACCAUUCAUCCAAAGAUGGAAAUCUGCAACCUCUUCUACAAUGAUCAGCCAGACAGAUGAGCUGAGUGAGAAGUCCCUGAAAUCUCAGAGGCCUAGGGCUGGCCAGGAGAGUGGGAUGGGCAUGCUUAGGAGAGUGGGGUGGGCAUGGUUAGGAGCUGCCCCCAGCUUGCCCUGCCUUCGUAGCAGAGUUGAUGGUGGGCUGAACCUUACCCCCAACAUGGGGACUUUUGCAGGGGAGGCAGACCUGUGUGUACAUGUGAGGGUACAUAGACAUACAUGAACGUCUAGCUCUCUGAGGGAAGAGAUGAGAUGCAUAAAUCACCUAACCCAGCACAAAGUACACACAAUAGGUGCUUAGUAAAUGUUAAUUAGGGAGUCAAGUAGGUAGAAGUUGAGGUCAGGGCAGGAGGAGGCAGGGAUAGAGGAACAUAAUGUGAAGUAGCCAGAGUAUUUUUGACAAAAAGGUGUGGAUUUUGGAGUCAGGAAAGCCUAGGUUCAAAUCCCAGUUCCACCACUUGUUAACAUGGUAACCUCAGGCCAGUUACUUAACCUCUCAGAGUAUCAGAGUCUUCACCUAUACAUUUUGAGAAUGGCAUGACAUCUCAUGGUGUUACUAGGAUUAUUAAGUAAAAUAAUAUAUUUAGAGUACCUGUACCAGCCCGGGGUUCGAUAAAUUACAGCUGUUUUUCUUUUUAUUAUCAUUUAUUGUGAAUAUCAUGGACAAUGAGGUUCCUCAGUUUAUUAACAGUUAGAAUCUUACUUUAAAAAAAGAACCCAAAUUAGGCUGGGCAUGGUGGCUCAUGCCUGUAAUCCCAGCAGUUUGGGAGGCCAAGGCGGGUGGAUUGCUUGAGGCCAGGAGUUCGAGACCAGCCUGGGCAACAUAGCAAGAUCCCAUCUCUAAAAAAAAAAAACAAAAGAACCCAAGUUGGAAAUACUUGCAAGUCAUGUAUCUAAUCUGAUAAGGGGUUAAUAUCCAGAAUAUAUAGAGAACUCAUAAAACUCAACAAUAACAAAACAAGCCAUUCAAUUAAAAAAUGGGCAAAAGACUUGAAUAGGCAUUUCUCCAAAGGAGAUAUAAAUGGCCAAUAAACACAUGAAAAGGUGUUCAACAACACUAAUCAUUAGGGAAAUGCAAAUCAAAACUACAAUGAGAUACCACCUCAUACCUAUCGGUAUUAGGAUGGCUACUAUCACUGUCAAUGGGGAUGUAAAUGAUACAGUCACUCUGGAAAACAGUAUGGCAAUUCCUCAAAAAAUUAAAAAUAUAAUUACCAUAUGAUCCACAAUUCUACUUCUGGGUAUGUACCCAAAAUAAUUGAAAGCAGGGUCUCAAAGAGAUCUUUGUACACCCAUGUUCAUUCUUCACAAUAGCCAAAAUGGGGAAGCAACUCACCCAUUGUCCAUUGUACAUUGAUAGAUGAAUGGAUAUGCAAAAUAUAGUGUAUACAUAUAUAUACAUAUACACACACACAAUGGAAUAUUAUUCAGCCUUUAAAAAUGAAAUUCUAACAUACAUUACAAUAUGGAUAAACCUCAAGGAUGUUAUUUUUGGUGAAAUAAGCAAGUCACAAAAAGACAAAUAUUGUAUGAUUCCAUUUAUAUGAAGUACUUAGAGUAGUCAAACUCAUUGAGCAGAAAAGAGAAUGAUGAUCCAGGGAAUGUGGGGAGAGGAAAAUGGGGCGUUUUUGUUUAGUGAGUACAGAGUUUCAGUUUUGCAAAAUGAAAAGCAUUAUGAAGAUGGAUGGUGGUGAUGUUUGUACAAUAUUGUGAAUGUACUUAAUACCACUGAUGUGUAAUUUAAAAAGGAUUAAGAUGGUAAACUUUGCAUGCAUUUUAUCACAACAAAAAAAAUUGGAAAAGCACUAAAAUCAAAGAUACCAAUUUUCCCCCAAUCGAUCCAUAGAUUUAAUGCAAUCCCAAUGAAAACAUCAGUAGGCUUUUAAAAAACUGAAAUUGACAAAUGUAUUCUAAAAUUUAUAUUGAAAUGCAAAGACCUCAUAAUAGCCAAAACAAUUUUGAAAAAAUGCAAAGUUGGAAGAUUUAUACUACCAGACUUCAAGAGAUACUAUAAAGCUACAGCAAUAAAGUAUUGGCAUAAGGAUAGGCAUAUUAAUGAAUGGAACAGAAUGGAGAGUUUAAAUGUAGAUCCAUAGACAUGUAUGGUCAAUUGAUUUUCGACCAAGCUACUGAGGUUUUCCACGAGGAAAGGUUAGUCUUUUCAACAAAUGAUGCUGAAAAAGUUGGAUAUCCAUUUGGAAGAAACCCCAAAAACCCAAAAAAACAAAAAGCCUUAAUUCUUCUUACUUAUCACAACACACAGAAUUCAACUCAAAAUGGAUCAUAGGCCUUGGGACAAGUAAUAUUAUGUGUCAACUUGACUGGGUCACAGGUGCCCAUACAUUUGGUGAAACAUCAUUCUGGGUGUUUCUGUGAGGGUGUUUUUGGAUGGAAUUAACAUUUAACUUGGUAGGCUGGAUAAAGCUGAGUGCUCUCCCUAAUGUGGGUGGGCCUCGUCUAAUCAGUUGAAGGCCUGACUAGAACGAAAAGGCUGACAUUCCUUUGAGUAAGAGAGGAUUCCUCCUGCCUGAUGGCAUUUGAGCUGGGCUGUCAACUUUUUCCUGCCCUUGGACUUGAACUAAAACACUGGCUCUUCCUGAGUCUUGAGCCUGCCAGCUUUGCACUGGAACUAUACCAUCAGCUUUCCUGAUUCUCAGGCCUUUAGAGUUGUCCAGAACUAUACUGUCAGCUCUCCCGGCUCUCCAGCUUGCCGACUCACUCUGCAGAUCUUGUGACUUGUCAGCCUCCAUCAUCAUGUGAGCCAAUUCAUUAUAAUAAAUAUCUUUUCAU
This 3931-nucleotide long non-coding RNA is filed under the name Homo sapiens (human). RNAcentral's name for it is "non-protein coding lnc-GPATCH2L-2:1". Lineage: Eukaryota; Metazoa; Chordata; Mammalia; Primates; Hominidae. The record is from RNAcentral.